UACGUAGGGUCCAAGCGUUGUUCGGAAUUACUGGGCGUAAAGCGUGCGCAGGCGGCUUGCCAAGUCAGAUGUGAAAGCCCCGGGCUUAACCUGGGAAUGGCGUUUGAAACUGGCAGGCUAGAGUUUGGCAGAGGGGGGUGGAAUUCCACGUGUAGCAGUGAAAUGCGUAGAGAUGUGGAGGAACACCGAUGGCGAAGGCAGCCCCCUGGGCCAAAACUGACGCUCAGGCACGAAAGCGUGGGGAGCAAACAGG
RNAcentral lists this ribosomal RNA (253 nucleotides) under uncultured bacterium. RNAcentral's name for it is "partial 16S ribosomal RNA". It matches the Rfam family "Bacterial small subunit ribosomal RNA", at positions 524 to 776 of the family's 1533-position model. The record is from RNAcentral.